Molecule: ribosomal RNA, 254 nt
Filed under: uncultured bacterium
Lineage: Bacteria
Description: partial 16S ribosomal RNA
Rfam family: Bacterial small subunit ribosomal RNA
Source: RNAcentral
UACGUAGGGGGCAAGCGUUGUCCGGAAUUAUUGGGCGUAAAGAGCGUGUAGGCGGUCCGGUAAGUCAGCUGUGAAAGUCAAGGGCUCAACCCUUGAAAGCCGGUUGAUACUGUCGGGCUAGAGUCCGGAAGAGGCGAGUGGAAUUCCCGGUGUAGCGGUGAAAUGCGCAGAUAUCGGGGAGGAACACCAAUGGCGAAGGCAGCUCGCUGGGACGGUACUGACGCUGAGACGCGAAAGCGUGGGGAGCAAACAGG